AACCGCUGAGCGGCUAAGUUAAAAUUUGUAAAAGAAGCGCGGGGGAGGAAAAAUUCAUUCCCACACUUAGACAUAUUUGGAGUAUCAUUGACUUCAGCUUGCCCUAACACUAUUCGACCAAACCUCCCUUUUCUCCUUCGUUCUCUGCCUCCGACAAAAACCAUCCUCCUCUUCGUUCUCCGCCUCCGACCACAACCCUCCUCCUCUUCUCCAUUCUCCGGCUACAAUCACAACCCUACCCUCCUCGUCCUCCUCCUUUUCCGCCUCGGACUAGCUCCUCUGCUCGAAGACGGUGAAGAGAAUCAGCCUCUUCGUUCUCCCCAUCCGACAAAAACCAUCCUCCUCUUCGUUCUCCGCCUCCGACCACAACCCUCCGCCUCGUCUUCGUUCUCCAGCUACAAUCACAACCCGACCCGCCUCGUCCUCCUCCUUUUCCGCCUCGGACCAGCUCCUCUGCUCGAAGACGGUGAAGAGAAUCAGAGAUGGAGGCCGGGCUUUUGGAGAAAAUUUGAGCUUUUUGUCUUAGGAUUUGUGUUUCAUCUACCGAAGCUUUGUGGGCUGCAUUCGAGCUUUCUGGGCAUUCAUGUUCUGAGCUUUCUGGGCAUUCUCCAUAUCUGAGGAGACUUCGAACUGUGUUUUCUAGUCAUGAAGGUUUCUGUAGCUUGGAAGUUUUAAGCUUGGGCCAAGAAGCGAAAACAACGCACAUCCCCUACAAUGGGGACUCCACCAUUUCAAUCAAGACCCCUUUCCCUCUGCUCUGGUGUCCUGUGAACCCAACUAAACGACACCCUCGCCAUGUCAAUUAACUCAUCAAACGCACACCCUUUUCUCUCCUGCAUUUUUAUUUUCCAUAAAAGGCAGAGGCAGCUUCACCAAACAGUUCUCACAUUCACAACCCAGAUUCAGUUGUUGUGAUUGAAAAAGGUUUUGCCUUUGAUCAGUGUUAUAGGUUGAGGUGAAAUCGAUUUGUUGGCAACAUGUAUCUUCUGAGGAGAAAAGCUCAGAACCCUGUGGAGGAUGAUUCUGCACAGAAAGAGGCACAGAAAGAAGCUCAGAAAGAAGCAAAGGUAAAUAAUUUACUUUUACUUGUGGCAGUAUGUGUGUGUGUCUUUUUACGCCAUUGCAGCUGUUGAUC
Molecule: long non-coding RNA, 1135 nt
Organism: Rosa rugosa (rugosa rose)
Lineage: Eukaryota; Viridiplantae; Streptophyta; Magnoliopsida; Rosales; Rosaceae
Exons: 5
Source: RefSeq, a predicted model, not a curated record